This 99-nucleotide small nuclear RNA is filed under the name Salvator merianae (Argentine black and white tegu). The record is from RNAcentral. Lineage: Eukaryota; Metazoa; Chordata; Lepidosauria; Squamata; Teiidae.
AUGCUUGCUUUGGCAGCACAUAUACUAAAAUUGGAACGAUACAGAGGAGAUCAGCAUGAAAAGGAUGUUGUGCAAAUUUGUGAAGCAUUCCGCUUUUUU